AGGGGUCAUAUGAUGAUUUAAAAUGCAUAGUUCAGAUGAUUUAUCUGUGAUUAUUAAUUUUUAUAGUCUUUCACUCCUAUCUGAUGAUCCCU
Lupinus angustifolius (narrow-leaved blue lupine) is the source of this 92-nucleotide small nucleolar RNA. It matches the Rfam family "Small nucleolar RNA snR60/Z15/Z230/Z193/J17". From Rfam's summary of the family: The members of this family belong to the C/D class of snoRNAs which contain the C (UGAUGA) and D (CUGA) box motifs. Most of the members of the box C/D family function in directing site-specific 2'-O-methylation of substrate RNAs. The record is from Rfam. NCBI's taxonomy places the organism in Eukaryota, Viridiplantae, Streptophyta, Magnoliopsida, Fabales, Fabaceae.